UAGAAGUUCCAACAACAAUUGGGAAAUUAUUCAAACAUAAAACAACAUAACUCCUAAUGCAUAUACUUUGCUAAUCCGACACAGUAAAAGUCCAAAAGAUUAGACCAGGAUCCUAUAUCCAUAGAAUCAGUGAGCUCUAUUAUUUGUUUUAGUCGUAUGAAAAAGGUUUCAUAACUCUAAUCACUGUUUAAUUGGACUGUAUAGUUUGUGAUCAAGUUUAUAACAUUUGAAUUGUAGGUUCUUGGAAAAGAACGAAAGCAAAUGAAUGUCCAAGAAACCAUGACUCACCAGGUUUCCCUCCAGACAGCACUGCACUUUCAACUGGUUCUACACCAUAAAUCUAAACACGAAAAGGAAAGAACAAACGCCAAGAUAAGAAACAAUAAAGAAACUAGCAAUACCAAAAAAAAAAAAUGACUUCCACUCCAAAUCAAGCAAUGCGGAGAAGUGAACCUUUAUAUCAGGGUUUUGUUCCUUGAGAUACUUCGCUGCACCUGUUAUUGUUCCCCCAGUCCCUAUCCCAGAAACAAAGGCAUCAACUUUCCCACCUGACCCUUUCCACAUCUCCGGUCCAGUUGUCUCAUAGUGAAUCUGACCAGGCAACAUCAGUAUGAUUGCAAUUCUCUCAAAUCAGCAAGUCAGAAAACGUGCGAAAUGAAAACAAAUGGCACCUUUGGGUUGGCAGGAUUUUCAAAUUGUUGCAGAAUAUAAGCAUUAGGUGUCUUUGCCAAUAUCUCUUCAGCCUUCUGAACAGCCCCAUUUAUGCCCCUGGCAGGAUCAGUAAGGAUCAACUCAGCUCCAAAAGCAAGGAGAACCAUUCUUCUCUCUAGACUCAUUGAUGCAGGCAUGGUAAUGAUCAGUCUGUAGCCCUUAGCAGCUGCCAUGAAUGCCAGCCCUAUGCCAGUGUUGCCACUCGUAGGCUCAAUCAGGACACUCUUCAGCAUUAAGAAAGAAAACCAUGUCAACACGCGAGUUCCUUUGUAAUGACAUUCGCGCUAUUUUGUAAGCAAUGAACAGAAAACGGAUCAGUUGACUGUCAAUGUCUGGACUAGGUCAUUACAAGGGUUGGCAACUAAUAAUUAAAUAUCCAUUAAUGUAUCAUACCUGCCAGCAGAAAAUGAUUUUCUGAUGCAACGAAGUCUUAAGCCAAGACAUGUAUUGAUCAAUUUUCAAUAGCUAUAUAUAACAUAUCACUCAAUUUCAAAGCAAAACAACCCAACUUGGACUUAAAAUUCAUGUAUCGUAUCUGUUCAAGUAGGAUUGAAUCACCAACCUCGCCCGGCUUGAUUAGACCCUUCUCCUCUGCAUCUUUGAUCAUACUAUACCCAAUCCUACAAACAAGGGAAGAAAGACAAGAAGAAGAAUUUCAAGCUGAGCAAACCAAAAUCUCAUUAAUGAUGAUGUUCUAAAGGCCCCAUUGUUACUUGUUGAGCAAAUCCAAUUCCAGCUUUGGAUUCAGAAACACAUUUGAAGUACCCGGAAACAGAAACAUAUUAAAUUUCGACAGCAAAGGAAGAUUUUCGGCCUUGGCAACCAAAUAAACCUGAUCGUAGCCAAGUUAAUAUAUAAAGCAUACCGAUCUCAACUUUCCAACAAAGAACAACAGAAAUCUAACUAAUACCUAUCUUUGACACUUGAGCAAGGUUCCAUCAUCUCCAGCUUGGCAGCAAUACGCGCCACACAACCAUCCACAACAUUGUUGAGAUACACCAAUGGUGUUUUACCGAUAAGCUAUAUUGGACCAAGUACAAAAGAAUAUAUAAGCCAGGGCUCCCAUAUCAAAGCACCUCAAGAACAAAUUCAACAAUUUUUGAAAUGGCAAUGGAGUCAACUUACUUCAGUAACAUCUUUGGCAAUUGAACCCUUCUCCUCUGCCAUUUUUUGUUCCGGUUACUGCACAAGCAUAGAACACACGGAGUGAUCAACAACAAAAAAACAAGCUAAAAAGGACAAACCUUUACAGAAAAAAUAGCAGAUACUGCAACCAUUUGAACAAUUCACCAAAACACAAUUUAGUUUAUAAGGAAAUGAUUCAGGAACUCCAAGUUUCAAUUGCGACACUCUUGCACCCACAAAAACAAACAUUAUAAACCAAAAAAAUAUAUAGCAUCAACCCAGAAAAAAAGAAUUCUCUCCUCAUGGCCCAUGGGAGUGCGACGUAAAUGAAAGUUGAUCAAAAUUUAUUUAUUUCUGUUUAAAAUUUAUUUUUUUAUUUUUGAAUGGUUUUAAUGUGUUUUUUCAAAAUUAAAACUUAGAAAAAAUUAAAAAAAUAUAUUAUUUUUAUAUAUUUUGAAAACAAAAAAGAUACAACACUCACGUGCACCGACAAACCCUUCACCAAAAUCCAUGAACUGAUGAACAACUAAACCUUGUAGAAUCCAGCAUCAACACAUAUAAUAUCAAAGAGUAAAAAUUAAGAAAAGCAAUACAUCAAACCUUGAGAUUCUUGAACUUUAAACAAUGUAAGUUUCCAAGCUAAAAUCUUUCUUUCAAGAAAAAACAGAGAAAUGAAAGAAAGUCAGAUAUUCGAUGGACUUCAAGGAGCCUUAAGAGAACUUACCAAGAAAUCCUUUUCUAUCUAUAUAUAGAGAGAACAAGGAGAGUAGGGAGCUUCUUGCAAUGAAAGAGCAAUAGUAGCUGGCUGAUAUAUACUGAUCUUUUAGCAUAUUUUUUAUACAAAUUUAUUUUAAAUUAAUUUUUGUAAGUGUAGUUGUCAAAGGUUUAGCUUCUAGUGUGAUUGUCAAAGUGAAGCUUUUGACCUGACCAAUCUUGUCUUCGUUCGUAACAGGUAAUUCCACUCGUCUUUGUUUUUGUCCUUUCCAUCUUCUUUUUUACGUCAUUAUUGAUUAUCUUAAAUAAAAAUGGGUCUUUUAAUGGUGGACUUUUCUUUGAUGGGUGCCCUUAGCAUCAUCAAUACUAAACUUGUCCUGCACGACGGAUAGACUUGGGAUUCAUCUUCGCAGAGAAAGAAUUAUAAUGAUUAUGAAUAAAAAAGAAAAAAGAGAUCGAUUAGAUGUUUUAAGAUAUUUAUUUAUUUUUUAUAUUUUGAGAUUGUCAUAGUUCAAAUUUAUUGAUUUUUUUAAAUAUGUUUGAUAUUUUAAAAAAAUUAUUAUUAAUAUUUAAAUUGAUUUAAGAGUAUCCCUUAUUGUUGGAAAAGAAAAAAUAUAAUUACCCACUGACAGCUUAUUGUUAAUUAUCAAGAAGAUGUAUCUCCUUUGAUUACAGGAUUCGCUCUAGAGUAUUUUAUAUAUAUAUAUAUAUAUAUAUAUAUAUAUAUAUAUAUAUAUAUAUAAUUGCUUUGGUGAUAGGAUCAUUAUCAUUUUAAAUUUAUUAAAAAAAUUAAAUACAUAAAAAACCAUAUAAAAUGUAUAUAUUUAAAAUAACUUGACUUUAGCUAAUGUUUAGGCCAGGAGUGUUAAUGAAUAUAGCAAGUCAUAUUUGGAUUUAUAAUUUUAUUCAGUUUAAUUUUUAAUAUUUUAUAAAUUAUAAACUCAAUUUAUCUAGAAGAAAGUUUGAAUUUGAACGAGCUAAAUAUAUCAGGCUGGAUUAAAUUUUUUAUAAAUAUUAUAAAUAUUUAUAAGUUGGAUUUAUAUUAUUAAUUUUUAUGAGUUAUACUCAAUUGGAAUACCUUGCACCCACAAAAACUAUCAUUAUAAACCAAAAAAUAUACAGCAUCAAUCUAGAAAAAAAAAAAUUCUCUCCUCAUGAUUCCUGUUUAAGAGUGCGGCUCAAAUGCAAGUUAAUCAAAAUUUAUUUUUUAUUUAAAAUUAAUUAUUUUUUGAUAUUUUGAAUUGUUCUGAUAUUUUAUUGUCAAAAAUAAAUAUUAAAAAAUAAAAAAUAUAUUAUUUUAAUAUAUUUUUAAAUAAAAAAUACUUUAAAAAACAAAAACAACAACAUUCACAAUCACUCCCCAAACCCUUCACCAAAAUCCAUGAACCGAUGAACAACUAAACCUUCUAGAAUCCAGCAUCAACACAUAUAACAUCAAAGAGUAAAAACUGAGAAAAGCUAUACAUCAAACCUUGAGAUUCUUGAACUUCAAACUAUGUAACUUCCAAGCUAAAAUCUUUCCUACAAGAAAAAACAGAGAAAUGAAAGAAAGUCAGAUAUUCGAUGGACUUAAGAGAACUUGCCAAGAAAUCCUUGAGAGAGAACAAGGAAAGUAUGAAGCUUCUUGCACGAAAGAGCAAUAGUAGCUGGCUCAUCUUUUAGCAUAUUUUUUCUACAAAUUUAUUUUAAAUUAAUUUUCCUCGUCCGGCUAUUUUCAGUAUCGUUCUUGUUUAUAUAUAUAUAUAUUGUAUGUAUUUGUGAAGUGUAGUUGUCAAAGGUUUAGCUUCUAGUGUGAUUGUCAGAGUGAAGCUUUUGACCUGACCUGUCUUGUCUUUGUUCGUAACAGGUAAUUCCACUUGUCUUCGAUUUUGCCUUUUCCUUCUCUUUUUUGACGUCAUUAUUGAUUAUCUUAAAUAAAAAUGGGUCUUUUAAUGGUGGACUUUCCUCUGAUCUGUGUCCUUAGCAUCAUGAAUACUAAACUUGUCUUGCACGACGGAUAGACUUGGGAUUCAGCCGAUCAGGUUUCAGAUUUUCAGUAACAGUGACCGAUUGGGAUUGCGAUUACUUAUGUUUUUAAAUGUUUUUUAAAAGUGUUUUUAUUUUAAAAUAUUUUAAAAUAAUCUUUUUAAUUUUUUUUUACUUUUAAUAAAAGCUUAUCAAAAUAAUUAUAAAGCAAUUAAAAAAAAUUAAUUUAAUAAAAAUAAAUAUACUUAUGAAAUCUAUUCAAACAUAGUUAUAAAUAUGAUGUAGAAUAGAUAUUUAUAAUUCAAGUCAGGUUUAAAAAAGAAAUUAAUUUAGAAUUAACACGGCCAAAACGCUAUUGGGCAAAAAUUGAAAAUUAUUUUUGUUUAAAAUUUAUUUUUUUAGGUUUUUUUUCUAGUUUUGAUGUGAUAAUAUCAAAAAUAAAUUUUAAAAAAUAAAAAAAAUAUUAUUUUAAUAUAUUUUUUAACAAAAAAAUACUUUGAAAAGUAAGAUGUACCACAAUAACAAUCACUACCUUAAUUGACAUGGUUAAAAUUAAAAAAAAUAUAUUUAAAACAAUGUUGUUAUUUAUUAUUCUAGGUUUACUUACGCAACCAAUAAAUCAAUAAACCAAAUCUUAAGUUGGGUCGGAUUUAAAUAAUUUUCUUCUCAUACAUGUUAUAUAUAUGAGAUCACAUCUAAUGACUAUCAUUAGAAGUUGAUAUGGUUUCAAUGACUAUUUUAAAGCAAAUUAAAAACUUCUGAAAUAAUUAAAUAAAACUAAAAAUUAAGUUCUGUCUCAUCCACAUCUAUAUCUAUAUGUGUGUGUGUGUGUGUUUUUGCAGACCUUGGAUUUAAAUUUUAAUAAUUAAUAUUGAUUCCCUUCAAGUAUGGCAUUAUCUCUUAAAUAGCAACUAGCAAUUAAAAACACCGUGGGCUCCGAGCCUGUUACUAUGGGCAUCCACCGAUCCCAGACUCAUCUCCGCAUAUGAAGAAUUAUAAUGAUUGUGAAUAAAAAAAGAAAAAGAAAUUGAUUUGAUGUUUAAGGAUAUUUAUUUAUUUAUUAAAUUGAUUUAAGAAUAUCCCAAUUUCUCAGAAAAUAAAAUAAAAAUUUCGUGUGGAUAUUCGCAAGUUGGACUUGUAUUACUAAUUUUUAUGAAUUAGACUUAAUUAGAACUUAUUGUUGAUGAUCAAGACGUAUCUGUUGUGGUUCUCAGGAAUCCUCUGUAGAGUGCUAUAUUAUCAUCACAGUCAGGAAUGCAUGUCACGAAGAAUUGGAUGUUGGAAACUAGCACGAUGCUUAACAGGAUUUGGAGUACACAUGAAACUGCAGAUUUUAUGGGCUAAUAAAGUGCCGUUUUAGAAAUUCAACAGACAAAUCAUCAUUUGACUGAGCUGGGAAGUAGGACAUUAGUUUGAAUUCAGCAUCAAGAAGGGAAGAGACCUUCCAUUGCUAGGUUCUCAAGCAUUUUCUGUGGAAAAGUGCUCAAGGCAUGCAUUUGAAAGAACUCUAAGAAAUGAGGGGAAAGAAACUAUAGCAUGACUCGUAUAUUCGGCUUCUAGUCCAUGGAGAAGAACAUCUUAAAAUAGAUGUUGGCAGAACAUACCAGCAAACANNNNNNNNNNNNNNNNNNNNNNNNNNNNNNNNNNNNNNNNNNNNNNNNNNNNNNNNNNNNNNNNNNNNNNNNNNNNNNNNNNNNNNNNNNNNNNNNNNNNNNNNNNNNNNNNNNNNNNNNNNNNNNNNNNNNNNNNNNNNNNNNNNNNNNNNNNNNNNNNNNNNNNNNNNNNNNNNNNNNNNNNNNNNNNNNNNNNNNNNNNNNNNNNNNUCGAUUGCCCCGUUGGAUACAUAAGUAAUUUUCUUUUUUAACUCUAUCAGCUCUUGAUGUUUGCACAACAAAUUUAAACAAGUUCCUUCCCAACAAUUGGAUUUGUAAGCAACAAGACAUUGAUGCUAAUCUGGCAAUUUGAAUCUGUAAACCAAGAUUCUACUUUGAUGCAUCCAACCUGAGAGAACCUAGCUAGGUAGAGAUGUGUAUACGCCAGCUUUAUGAUUAUUUUUCUCAUUCAAACCUCUUCUAGCUGAGACCCGUCCUAGCCUUGACUAGACUAUGUCUCAUGAGGUUUAGCCGGGUUGGUUAUGUUUCAUAUCUGGUUAAACUAAGGAUUAGCAGGCGCAUGCAUGGGUUUUAACUUUUAACAGUGUUUGAUGUGCCGCCAUGAAGAAGGUAGACGAUGACAUGAUGUGAAAUGCAUAAAGAAGAUUCCCACAUCGAGAAAACAUAAGACGUGGGGCAAGGCAUGGGAAUAUAAAUAGGAAGCUCAAAGCAACGGGAAACAUACUUACCUGGACGGGGUCGAUGGGCGAUCAGGAAGGUCCAUGGCCUAGGUCAGUGACGUCCAUUGCACUGAGGAUGGGUGCUGGCUUAAGGUCUCCCCAAGUGGGAGAUCCUACGUCAAAAUUUGUGGCAGAGGGGGCUGCGCAAGUCGCGGCCCCUGUCCAAUUCUAAUAUCAAACAUUUUGCUAUGAGUCUUUCUAAUUUGAAGCCUCAUCUGAACUUGUUCGGCGCCGGAGAUAGUAGCUGAGGCUCCGAGCAUUGAGAGUAGAUGUUGCGUUGAUCAUAGAAACAUUGGACACUUGAAGAAAUGCGAUGCCUGAGAUAUCGAUCAGGAAUAAUUAAUUAAGACCAAAAAAGAAGUCUGUCUCAUCCACCUGCAUAUAUAUCUGUGUGUUUUUUGUGAUGUGAUAAUGUCUAACAGCUUUUCUUCUUCUUUUUUGCAGACCUUGGAUUUAAAUUUUAAUAAUGGGUGUGCUUGGAUGAAAAUAAUUUUUAAAAUAAAAAAUUAUUAAAUUCAAUGAAAAUAAAGAAAUUCAAGAUCCAAAUUGCAUAUUGGCUAGUUAACUUAAUUAACUCUUUUUUUUUUUUUUAUCGAUUUUCUUAUCUCUAGUUUCACAACAUUAUGAUUAAGUUUUUAAUAACAUAAUAUACUAUCAACGGGACUUUGUUUGAUCUCACAACACUAUGAUUAAAGUUUCUUAAUCCAUCGCACAAGCCCUUUGUUAAUAUAUACAGAUACACAGAGCAGAAAAGCCUCCGCAUCAGGCUCCUAUAAGCCAUGCUCUCCACCUCAAGGCACAAAAACCAUGUUCUCCGCCUCCUUCUUCACCGAUUCGAAAAGCACGGAGGAUAGGUAACGCUCCCCAAAGCUAGGGAAGAUCGUCUGUUUACAUUAGAAAAAAUGGUAAGACGCACAGAACAAAACACCAACAAAGGCCAAGCACUAGAAGGUAUUCAGAAAGAUACGGCAUGUGCUAAACGCAAUGCUGCUAAGCUUUGCCAAAGAAUAUGGUACUUAUCAUCACUAUUACCGUGCUUGAAGAUUUUCUAUCACCUAUAAUCGUUCAAGAACAUUCAUUAUUUGAAUAGAUAAUUUCAUCAUAAAAAAUAUCAAGGGAAAUGGUUGCUAGAUUGGCAAUGAACUUUACUAUUUGGAAACAAAUUUGUUUCAUCUAAGGGAUAGCUUUGGGCAGCAGGCUCACUAGCAAGUUGCAGAUGGAUCUACUUCAAAAGGAAGAAAAUCAAACUUACAACAAUGAGUUUUCCAGCAUUUUCAGGCCUCUUUGCUAUCUCAAUGGCAGCAGCUGCAGCAGCUCCAGAUGAUAUCCCCACCUGAAAUCCAAAUGAUGCCCUCAAAAGAAUUCUUGAUUAAAGUCAAACCCAGAAAAUAUGAUCCAGUUAACAGAGUGGAGUGCUGUAGAGUUCUGGGUUCCUUCUUGCAACAAAUAUCAAAUAAUUGUAAGCUUACCAGCAAUCCUUCUUUCAAGGCAAGAAGCUUUGCAGUUUCAAUGGCUUCUUCACUUGAUAUCUGCAAAGUCAUAUAACGAUCCAGUCUCUCAGGUAGCAGCGCAGCAAGGCAAUAAAAAGGAAGAAACAAAAAACAAACGGUAUUUUCUCUUAAGGAAUAAAUCAGAGCAUGCGACAAAGAUUAGACUUGAGGAACUUGGAUUUGUAUAAGAUGGAGUAGGAAUACGUUUUGGGAAUUAUGUAAGAGAACACAGACUUACUUGAACAGUUUCAUCAAGUAAACCGACAUCCAAAACCGCAGGGAUGAAGCCAGCGCCAAUUCCCUGGAUCUUAUGUGGACCUUGGAUCCAUUCCAGAAAACAAUGAUAUGUUAGUCCAAUCAUGAAUACAUGGAAAAGGCAGCUGCUUCAAGAGGACAGAAUCAUAUGGGACAUGUCCAAUUGUGAAAAAUGUUGUGCAAGGUUUUGAAUAUUUAUCUUAAAGGAAUGCAAGACAGAUGGCUUAGAAGUUCCAACAACAAUUGGGAAAUUAUUCCAACAUAAAACAACAUAACUCCUAAUGCAUAUACUUUGCUAAUCCGACACAGUAAAAGUCCAAAAGAUUAGACCAGGAUCCUAUAUCCAUAGAAUCAGUGAGCUCUAUUAUUUGUUUUAGUCGUAUGAAAAAGGUUGCAAAACUCUAAUCACUGUUUAAUUGGACUGUAUAGUUUGUGAUCAAGUUUAUAACAUUUGAAUUGUAGGUUCUUGGAAAAGAACGAAAGCAAAUGAAUGUCCAAGAAACCAUGACUCACCAGGUUUCCCUCCAGACAACACUGCACUUUCAACUGGUUCUACACCAUAAAUCUAAACACGAAAAGGAAAGAACAAACGCCAAGAUAAGAAACAAUAAAGAAACUAGCAAUACCAAAAA
Molecule: long non-coding RNA, 9224 nt
Filed under: Populus trichocarpa (black cottonwood)
Lineage: Eukaryota; Viridiplantae; Streptophyta; Magnoliopsida; Malpighiales; Salicaceae
Description: long non-coding RNA (PTRI_LNC001408)
Rfam family: U1 spliceosomal RNA (bases 6849-7008)
Source: RNAcentral